GACGAACGCUGGCGGCGUGCUUAACACAUGCAAGUCGAACGGUGAAGCCUGGCUCUUGCGCUGUGUGGGUGAGUGGCGCACGUGUGUGUAAUGCGUGUGUAAUCUGCCCGUGACUCUGGUAUCAUCCUGGGAAACUGGGUCUUAUACUGUAGAUGACAUUCCACUGCGUUGGGGUUUGUGGAGAUUGGUUUUGUGGUUUUGGAUGGGCUCGCGGCCUAUCAGCUUGUUGGUGGGGUAGUGGCCUACCAAGGCGAUGACGGGUAGCCGGCCUGAGAGGGUGACCGGCCACAUUGGGACUGAGAUACGGCCCAGACUCCUACGGGAGGCAGCAGUGGGGAAUAUUGCACAAUGGGCGGAAGCCUGAUGCAGCGACGCCGCGUGAGGGAUGACGGCCUUCGGGUUGUAAACCUCUUUCAGCAGGGAAGAAGCGAGAGUGACGGUACGUGGAGAAGAAGCGCCGGCUAACUACGUG
This 472-nucleotide ribosomal RNA is filed under the name uncultured bacterium. RNAcentral's name for it is "partial 16S ribosomal RNA". It matches the Rfam family "Bacterial small subunit ribosomal RNA", at positions 28 to 507 of the family's 1533-position model. The record is from RNAcentral.